Paenibacillus sp. is the source of this 93-nucleotide regulatory RNA element. It matches the Rfam family "ylbH leader". Rfam says of the family: This family is a putative regulatory RNA structure that is found upstream of the ylbH gene in B. subtilis and related low GC Gram-positive bacteria. The record is from Rfam. Lineage: Bacteria; Bacillati; Bacillota; Bacilli; Caryophanales; Paenibacillaceae.
AAAAUUAAUUGAGCGCCCUAUUGCUAGGGCGCUCUCAUGGGAGAGGAGAAACCGGACGAAGAGCUUAUGGGGAAACGUAAGUCUUCUCCGCGG